AUUGAACGCUGGCGGCAGGCCUAACACAUGCAAGUCGAGCGGAUGAAGGGAGCUUGCUCCUGGAUUCAGCGGCGGACGGGUGAGUAAUGCCUAGGAAUCUGCCUGGUAGAGGGGGAUAACGUCCGGAAACGGGCGCUAAUACCGCAUACGUCCAGAGGGAGAAAGUGGGGGAUCUUCGGACCUCACGGUAUCAGAUGAGCCUACGUCGGAUUAGCUAGUUGGUGGGGUAAAGGCUUACCAAGGCGACGAUCCGUAGCCGACCUGAGAGGGUGAUCAGCCACACUGGAACUGAGACACGGUCCAGACUCCUACGGGAGGCAGCAGUAGGGAAUCUUCCGCAAUGGGCGAAAGCCUGACGGAGCAACGCCGCGUGAGUGAUGAAGGUCUUCGGAUCGUAAAACUCUGUUAUUAGGGAAGAACAUAUGUGUAAGUAACUGUGCACAUCUUGACGGUACCUAAUCAGAAAGCCACGGCUAACUACGUG
RNAcentral lists this ribosomal RNA (484 nucleotides) under uncultured bacterium. RNAcentral describes it as "partial 16S ribosomal RNA". It matches the Rfam family "Bacterial small subunit ribosomal RNA", at positions 30 to 507 of the family's 1533-position model. The record is from RNAcentral.